UCCCGGGGCUUAACCCCGGAAGUGCAUAUGAAACUAUGAAACUUGAGUAUGGGAGAGGGAAGCGGAAUUCCUGGUGUAGCGGUGAAAUGCGUAGAUAUCAGGAGGAACACCGGUGGCGAAGGCGGCUUCCUGGACCAAUACUGACGCUGAGGCGCGAAGGCGUGGGGAGCGAACAGGAUUAGAUACCCUGGUAGUCCACGCAGUAAACGUUGAUCACUAGGUGUGGCGGGUAUUGACCCCUGCUGUGCCGGAGUUAACGCAUUAAGUGAUCCGCCUGGGGAGUACGAUCGCAAGAUUAAAACUCAAAGGAAUUGACGGGGGCCCGCACAAGCGGUGGAGCAUGUGGUUUAAUUCGACGCAACGCGAAGAACCUUACCUGGACUUGACAUCCC
This 392-nucleotide ribosomal RNA is filed under the name uncultured delta proteobacterium. Its description in RNAcentral is "bacterial SSU rRNA". It matches the Rfam family "Bacterial small subunit ribosomal RNA", at positions 600 to 990 of the family's 1533-position model. Lineage: Bacteria; Deltaproteobacteria. The record is from RNAcentral.